RNAcentral lists this ribosomal RNA (1295 nucleotides) under uncultured spirochete. Its description in RNAcentral is "bacterial SSU rRNA". It matches the Rfam family "Bacterial small subunit ribosomal RNA", at positions 130 to 1440 of the family's 1533-position model. The record is from RNAcentral. Lineage: Bacteria; Pseudomonadati; Spirochaetota; Spirochaetia; Spirochaetales.
CAUGAGGUUCGGGAUAGCUCUACGAAAGUAGGAUUAAUACCGGAUGUGCUCAUUGAGUAAAGAUUAUCGCCUUAUGAUGGGCCUGCGUUAGAUUAGCUUGUUGGUAGGGUAACGGCCUACCAAGGCAACGAUCUAUAGCCGGGUUGAGAGACCGACCGGCCACAUUGGGACUGAGACACGGCCCAGACUCCUACGGGAGGCAGCAGCUAAGAAUCUUCCGCAAUGGACGCAAGUCUGACGGAGCGACGCCGCGUGAAUGAUGAAGGCCUUACAGGUUGUAAAAUUCUUUUAUAGAGGACGAAUGUAUAGUGUAGACUAUUCUGACGGUACUCUAUGAAUAAGGUCCGGCUAACUACGUGCCAGCAGCCGCGGUAAUACGUAGGGACCGAGCGUUGUUCGGAAUUAUUGGGCGUAAAGGGUACGUAGGCGGUCUAAUAAGUCAAAUGUGAAAACCUCGGGCUCAACCUGAGGCCUGCGUCUGAUACUGUUAGGCUAGAGUUACGGAGAGGAAGGCGGAAUUCCUGGUGUAGGGGUGAAAUCUAUAGAUAUCAGGAAGAACAUCUGUUGCGAAGGCGGCCUUCUGGACGUAAACUGACGCUGAUGUACGAAAGUUAGGGUAGCAAACAGGAUUAGAGACCCUGGUAGUCCUAACCGUAAACGUUGUAUACUAGGUGGUGGCGUUUUGAUCGCGUCACUGCCGGAGCUAACGCAUUAAGUAUACCGCCUGGGGAGUAUGCCGGCAACGGUGAAACUCAAAGGAAUUGACGGGGGCCCGCACAAGCAGUGGAGCAUGUUGUUUAAUUCGAUGAUACGCGAGGAACCUUACCAGGUCUUGACAUAUACCUGAAUGAUGCAGAAAUGUAUCAGCCUUCGGGCAGGUAUACAGGUGCUGCAUGGUUGUCGUCAGCUCGUGCCGUGAGUUCUUGGGUUAAGUCCCGCAACGAGCGCAACCCUUAUUCUUUGUUGCUAACAGUUCGUGCCUGAGCACUCUAACGGAGACUGCCCGGUGACAAACUCGGAGGAAGUUGGGGAUGACGUCAAAUCAUCACGGCCCUUAUGACCUGGGCUACAAACGUGCUACAAUGGGCGGCACAGAGAGUUUGCGAUACCGCAAGCGUGAGCUAAUCUCAAAAAACCGUCCUCAGUUCGGAUUGGAGUCUGAAACUCGACUUCCAUGAAGCUGGAAUUGCUAGUAAUCGCAUAUCAGCCAUGAUGCGGUGAAUACGUUCCCGGGCCUGUACACACCGCCCGUCACAUCACCCGUAUUGAUUAUACCCGACGUGAUCGAGCUAACC